RNAcentral lists this ribosomal RNA (1696 nucleotides) under Stemonitis longa. RNAcentral's name for it is "Stemonaria longa partial 18S ribosomal RNA". It matches the Rfam family "Eukaryotic small subunit ribosomal RNA", at positions 327 to 1115 of the family's 1831-position model. Lineage: Eukaryota; Evosea; Eumycetozoa; Stemonitida; Stemonitidae. The record is from RNAcentral.
UGCAGUGUCACGGACGUGCAAUGGUUGCUACGGGUACGGGGAAUCAGAGUUCGAUUCCGGAGAGUGGGCCUGAGAGAUCGCUCAUACUUCUAAGGAAGGCAGCAGGCGCGCAACGUUCCCAAUGGGCACUAUGUCCUGAGGGCGUUAUAGGAAGUAUGCAUGGUUGCCAAAAUGGCGGCUAAUGCAAAUGGAUCAGGUGUAAACUACCUGAUGAGAAACAAUUAGAGGACAAGUCUGGUUGCAGGACAGCCAGAUGUUCCUUGGGUAAAUUAAUAUUUCCUUGACGGUCCAAGGUUUUAUUUUUAUUCAAGGGGCAGAAAGCCGGGUUGAACUCCGGUUGUACAACUGUAAAUUGCGGGAAAGGCUGGCUUUUAAACAUGUAGCUACGGCGGCUGUAGUGGGAAAUCACAUAACCACAAGCGGCGUCAGCAGAGAGCGUAAUGGUUCUCGGAUCGUAAAAACGCUACUAUGUAAUGCCAGGCAAUCCGCAGCCAAGUGCGCUACAAAGAACCCAAUUCAUUUUGGGGGAAAAAUGCGCUCAGGUUCAGAGACUAUAAUCAGUUGGGGUGAUUCUUUAAAUUCUGAAGGUUUCAACCAUAUACAUGCAUAACAUGCAUACAAAUCACAUUUUACAAUGUGUACUUGUGUGAUGUGCGUUAUUACGUGGUUGAAGCGGGAAGGGUUUUUGAUCAUCUUAAGGUAUAGUCCACUCCCCUCAGCGAUGAGGCCGGCUACGGAGUAGGAGGAUUUGUUCCCCUCUGAGGACGAGCCGGGUUUAAUGAUCCAGGAAGACAAAAUGUCCUGGGGAGAACGGUACACAAGGGCCAGCACCCGCGGUAAUUCCAGCUCUAAUAGCGUUCAUUAAAUUUGUUGCGGUUAAAACGUUCGUAGCCAGCCUAAGGGCAUUCCAAGACGUGGCUUGGGAACUUUUGUGUGGGAAUCUUGCGGCUCCAAUGCCACAAUCUCCCAUUCGAAUUUUCUCCCAUGUAUUAUGGAGUGGCCUCACGCACUUCCCUUCGUCUGUUCCUCUUUCCCCCUCCGUGAAAUCCACCUUCGGGGGCACUUUCGGCCAGGAUACGAACUUAAGGGACUCGUCCCGCGAUGCAGUGCCAAACUGCUGUCGAUUAAAAUGCAACUCUCCAAGUUGGGUAACUUACGGCGGCAUAUGACUUGCCAAAGUAUCAAAACAUCCGAGAGCAUCGAUCACAGCACAGGCUAGCGAAGCAUUACUGAAUGGAGAAAUCCACCCUUUCCUGUCUCCCUCGCCAACCAUCCCACUUUCUCCUGAGACCCGGUAAAUGCUCCCCAAAAGCUCUCUCGAUUAACCUCCGCUCUUCGGAAAAGGGGUGUCGAUGUAUCUUCGGGGUUCAAGUGUUCGGCGGAAUACGAAAGAGAUCGAGGGACUGGCGAGAAGAGUUAGGAGGGGAGGCAGGGUGCCUCGCUACUACCAAAGGCGAAAGGGAUGUUCGGUGGUGACCGAAUUAUCUGGUGAGCGGUGAAAUGCGUUGAUCCAGGUAAGUCGUCCAAAAGCGAAAGCAGUCAUCAAGGGCAUUCCCGUUGGUCAAGAACGAAAGUUGGGGGAUCGAAGACGAUCAGAUACCGUCGUAGUCCCAACCCUAAAUCAUGAAGACUAGAGAUUGGGCAAUGUCCAUCUCGACUCCCUCUGGAUCUACAUGGAAACAUCCAAGUAGUCUCC